GUGCUUGCACCCCGCUGACGAGCGGCGGACGGGUGAGUAAUGCAUAGGAAUCUGCCCGAUAGUGGGGGAUAACCUGGGGAAACCCAGGCUAAUACCGCAUACGUCCUACGGGAGAAAGGGGGCUCCGGCUCCCGCUAUCGGAUGAGCCUAUGUCGGAUUAGCUGGUUGGUGAGGUAAAGGCUCACCAAGGCGACGAUCCGUAGCUGGUCUGAGAGGAUGAUCAGCCACAUCGGGACUGAGACACGGCCCGAACUCCUACGGGAGGCAGCAGUGGGGAAUAUUGGACAAUGGGGGGAACCCUGAUCCAGCCAUGCCGCGUGUGUGAAGAAGGCCCUCGGGUUGUAAAGCACUUUCAGUGAGGAAGAACGCCUGGUGGUUAAUACCCAUCAGGAAAGACAUCACUCACAGAAGAAGCACCGGCUAACUCCGUGCCAGCAGCCGCGGUAAUACGGAGGGUGCGAGCGUUAAUCGGAAUUACUGGGCGUAAAGCGCGCGUAGGUGGCUUGAUAAGCCGGUUGUGAAAGCCCCGGGCUCAACCUGGGAACGGCAUCCGGAACUGUCAAGCUAGAGUGCAGGAGAGGAAGGUAGAAUUCCCGGUGUAGCGGUGAAAUGCGUAGAGAUCGGGAGGAAUACCAGUGGCGAAGGCGGCCUUCUGGACUGACACUGACACUGAGGUGCGAAAGCGUGGGUAGCANACAGGAUUAGAUACCCUGGUAGUCCACGCCGUANACGAUGUCGACCAGCCGUUGGGUGCCUAGCGCACUUUGUGGCGAAGUUAACGCGAUAAGUCGACCGC
Molecule: ribosomal RNA, 796 nt
Filed under: Halomonas sp. MAKAM07
Lineage: Bacteria; Pseudomonadati; Pseudomonadota; Gammaproteobacteria; Oceanospirillales; Halomonadaceae
Description: bacterial SSU rRNA
Rfam family: Bacterial small subunit ribosomal RNA
Source: RNAcentral